This 495-nucleotide ribosomal RNA is filed under the name uncultured bacterium. Its description in RNAcentral is "partial 16S ribosomal RNA". It matches the Rfam family "Bacterial small subunit ribosomal RNA", at positions 30 to 507 of the family's 1533-position model. The record is from RNAcentral.
UGAACGCUGGCGGCGUGCCUAAUACAUGCAAGUCGAGCGAACGGACGAGAAGCUUGCUUCUCUGAUGUUAGCGGCGGACGGGUGAGUAACACGUGGAUAACCUACCUAUAAGACUGGGAUAACUUCGGGAAACCGGAGCUAAUACCGGAUAAUAUUUUGAACCGCAUGGUUCAAAAGUGAAAGACGGUCUUGCUGUCACUUAUAGAUGGAUCCGCGCUGCAUUAGCUAGUUGGUAAGGUAACGGCUUACCAAGGCAACGAUGCAUAGCCGACCUGAGAGGGUGAUCGGCCACACUGGAACUGAGACACGGUCCAGACUCCUACGGGAGGCAGCAGUAGGGAAUCUUCCGCAAUGGGCGAAAGCCUGACGGAGCAACGCCGCGUGAGUGAUGAAGGUCUUCGGAUCGUAAAACUCUGUUAUUAGGGAAGAACAUAUGUGUAAGUAACUGCGCACAUCUUGACGGUACCUAAUCAGAAAGCCACGGCUAACUACGUG